Molecule: transfer RNA, 84 nt
Filed under: bacterium
Lineage: Bacteria
Also listed under: 2 other names
Description: tRNA-Leu
Rfam family: tRNA
About the family: Transfer RNA (tRNA) molecules are approximately 80 nucleotides in length.
Source: RNAcentral
GCCGAAGUGGUGGAAUUGGUAGACGCGCUGCGUUCAGGGCGCAGUAUCCGCAAGGAUGUGGGGGUUCGAGUCCCCCCUUCGGCA